GCGUUAAACGUGCCGCCUGGGGAGUACGAUCGCAAGAUUAAAACUCAAAGAAAUUGACGGGGGCCCGCACAAGCGGUGGAGUAUGUGGCUCAAUUCGAUGCAACGCGAAGAACCUUACCAGGCCUUGACAUGCAUCUCUAAGUUGGUGAAAGCCAGCGAGUCCCGAAAGGGACAAUUUGCACAGGUGCUGCAUGGCUGCCGUCAGCUCGUGUCGUGAGAUGUUGGGUUAAGUCCCGCAACGAGCGCAACCCCUGUGAACUGUUGCCACCGAGCCGUGAGGCUCGAGCACUCUGUUCAGACUGCCCCGCUCUAACGGGGAGGAAGGUGGGGACGACGUCAAGUCAGUAUGGCCCUUACGGCCUGGGCUGCACACGUACUACAAUGCCCAGCACAGAACGAUCCAAGACCGCGAGGUGGAGGAAAUCUCUAAAACUGGGCCCAGUUCAGAUUGAAGUCUGCAACUCGACUUCAUGAAGCCGGAAUCGCUAGUAAUGGCGCAUCAGCUACGGCGCCGUGAAUACGUUCCCGGGCCUUGUACACACCGCCCGUCACAUCAUGGGAGUCGCUUGUAGCCGAAGUCGGCGCGCUAACCGCAAGGAGGCAGCCGCCUACGCUAUGAGCGGUAACUGGGAUGAAGUCG
Molecule: ribosomal RNA, 640 nt
Filed under: uncultured soil bacterium
Lineage: Bacteria
Description: bacterial SSU rRNA
Rfam family: Bacterial small subunit ribosomal RNA
Source: RNAcentral